Molecule: ribosomal RNA, 467 nt
Filed under: uncultured bacterium
Lineage: Bacteria
Description: partial 16S ribosomal RNA
Rfam family: Bacterial small subunit ribosomal RNA
Source: RNAcentral
GACGAACGCUGGCGGCGUGCUUAACACAUGCAAGUCGAACGGAAAGGCCCUGCUUUUGUGGGGGGCUCGAGUGGCGAACGGGUGAGUAACACGUGAGUAACCUGCCCUUGACUUUGGGGUAACUUCAGGAAACUGGGGCUAAUACCGGAUAGGAGCUCCUGCUGCAUGGUGGGGGUUGGAAAGUGUCGGCGGUUGGGGAUGGACUCGCGGCUUAUCAGCUUGUUGGUGGGGUAGUGGCUUACCAAGGCUUGGACGGGUAGCCGGCCUGGGAGGGAGACCGGCCACAGUGGGAUUGGGGAAGCGCCAGGACGGAAUCGGGGGGAAGGGGGGGGAAACUUUGCCAACCGGGCGGAGGGCUGAUGGAGCAACGCCGGGUGGGGAACGGCGGCUGUUGGGGAGGAAACCGUUUUGGCUUGUAACGAGGGGGGAGGACGGGAAAGGGAUAAAGAGCAACGGGCAAACUAGGG